RNAcentral lists this unclassified non-coding RNA (314 nucleotides) under plant metagenome. RNAcentral describes it as "partial contains 5.8S ribosomal RNA, internal transcribed spacer 2, and large subunit ribosomal RNA". The stretch from base 1 to 105 matches the Rfam family "5.8S ribosomal RNA", at positions 50 to 154 of the family's 154-position model. The record is from RNAcentral.
GAAAUGCGAUAAUUAAUGUGAAUUGCAGAAUUCAGUGAAUCAUCGAGUCUUUGAACGCACAUUGCGCCCCCUGGUAUUCCGGGGGGCAUGCCUGUCCGAGCGUCAUUGCUGCCCUCAAGCACGGCUUGUGUGUUGGGCUUCCGUCCCUGGCAACGGGGACGGGCCCAAAAGGCAGUGGCGGCACCAUGUCUGGUCCUCGAGCGUAUGGGGCUUUGUCACCCGCUCCCGUAGGUCCAGCUGGCAGCUAGCCUCGCAACCAAUCUUUUUAACCAGGUUGACCUCGGAUCAGGUAGAGAUACCCGCUGAAGUUAAGC